CCAUGUCUGAGGGGGCUUUUCUAAAGCCCUCACCCCCCAAAACCCCCCUGAAAUGGGCUGAGAUUGAAUUAGGGCCGGGUUGGCCCCUAGCCCCCAUUGUUUGUGCCAUGAUGAAGCAUUUCCAUUCUUUAUGAAACAAACGCUUUGUCUACGAGUUCAGGUCGCCUGCGGCAUCAACCUCCUGCGACAUCAACCUCAGAGAUUUCCAGAACUGCAAAACCCAAUUCGGCCCUUCUCUCAAUCACCCUUACGAGCUCAAAAUUUCUCAGAACUGCAAAACAUUUUGGAGUGUCACGGGGCAAUCAAGCCUAGGGUUCUCAUUCCUCUUUUCUGUGCUUGCUUUGUGAGGAAGGAACGAAUUCAGGUAUGAGGAGCUAAACCUUGUCUCGAUCGAAUUUAUUGGUUAUAUGAGUAUUAAGUGAUGUUGUGUGUUUCUGGUUGAAAUUUUUGAAUGCUAAAUGUGAUUACCUUGUUGUUUAUAUGUUGGUGUAAUGACAAAUUGGAUUCAAUAUUGUGAACUAGGACACGUUAGACAUUUUAGCAUGAUGGUUGAAAUUUUUGAAUGCUAAAAUGUGAUUACCCUUGUUGUUUACAUGUUGUUUAUAUAUUUAUUUGUUUUUCUACUUCCAUUUCAUAUCCCCUUUGUUAAAAUUUUCAACAGUAUAAAUAAAGGAUAAUGUUUUGGAUUAAAAAAAUGUGAGAGUAACAAGCUAAUCAUCUUUGGAUUCCUAAAAGUUGGAUGGGUAAAGAGAGACGAUUGAUUUGUAAGUUUCCUCUGCACUUGUUUAGUACUGGAAUCUGAUGCAUGUUAAAUUGCGGUUGUAAUGUGUUUUGGAGAAAAGAGGUUAUGUGUUUGAGGCUUUGACUGUGGCUGGUUUUUGGGUUUUUCUAAAGAAAAUAAUUUGUAUUUUUAAAGGGUUUUACAAACUGUGCAAUUACUUUCUUUUAGUGAACAUGACAAUUUGUAUGUAUAGAAGCUAAAUUUUCAUCUCUCUUAGGAAUAUGACUUUUUCAUUUCAUAGAAUGAAUAUAUGUUUUAGUUUCUCACAACAAGAAGUCAUUGAUAAUUUUAAAACUAUUUUGAUAAAAAUAGCAUAAUUAUACAUGGCCCACAUUUUAUUCAGUUUCAAGUUCCAUCUAUAAUCAAAUUUUUCUACAAUUUGAAAAAUUGAAAAUGUUUAUUUAUUAUUAUUGGAAAGUUGUUGUAAAUCCUACCUAACUAAUUUGCAUUUUAUUUUGUAAUGUACGUGAACCUUGUAAUUUUAUUUGUACAAUGUCUCCUACUAAUUCAAUUGUAGCUACUGACACAACAAUAUAAUAUGAUUAAAGCAUUUAUUUCUUAGAACCUUGGAUACAUGUGGUUUUGAUUCUACAGGUCAAAAAUACAUUUUAGUCCUCAAAUUUUGAAAUUAGGUUUAAAAUAAUUUUUUUACUCGUUCCGGUCAUUGUUUAUAUCAAUUACCAUUGUGUAUAUUGAAAUGAUUUUAACAGUGAUUUUGUAACCUUUAAACUUAUUUGGUUCAUAUUUAAUAACAAGAUUUUGAUCUAUUAUUUAAUAACAUUGGUAAGUGUAUAUGUUAUUAUUUUAAAAAUUACUUUACAUUAAAUUAUUAAUUCUAAACUAGUUUUUUUAUUGUAUUUCAAUUGUUUGUGAUAAAUUUGUUGACCAUAGCGUUGUUUAAAAGGACCAUUCUCUUUAAUCAUGUUUAUCCUGAAUUUGUGUUGAAUGGUUUAGAAAUGAAAUGAGUUUAUUUAUCUGGAAAUAUUAUCUUCCUUGUGGAAUAAUUGUGCUUUCAAAAUUAUCUGGAAAACUAUUAUUUGUGUUCCUUAUUCACUUUCUUCUUACACUUUGGUCUCAUUCUUAGUUUUGGAUUUUUUUUUGUGUAGCCCAUUGUUUACAACUUGUACACCUCGAGUUGAGUAGUCUGCACUUUUCAAAAUGUGUAACUUUACGCUUUCUAUGUAGAGGAUUUAAGCUCAUGAUCUGUCCUUGUGCAUUAGUACUAAAAAAUUCAGUUGAUCAUUCUUCGUUUUUUUUAAGGUCUCUUUUUUGUUGUGCAUGGUGAAAUAUGGUUCAACAAUUAUUUAACUUUUUGUGCUAUGAUAAUAGUCAUAUGUAUAUUUGACUAAUUAUAAGCUUUGGAUUGUUUGGUGUAAUUUAAUGAAAUCAUUAGUGUCAUAUUUGUUUGUAGGUGACUCAUGCAAAGAUCUCUUACAUAACUAGUUUGUCUUAACUAUUUUAACUUUGAUAUCCCUAGAUUCUAUGCAUAAGAACCUGUUAUAUUUUUGAACUUGCCCAAAACCAAUAAUUAAAGUAGCUACUAAUAGAUCAAGAAACAAGUAGAAUAUAUACACAUCUCUAAUAGCUGCUGAAAUAAGAGCAGAUACAUAUUGGACAAACUGAAGAAUGGUUUUAUAGUUUGAGGGGAAAUGCCUUUUUCUCAUCCCAGCUAUGGCUAAUCGGUUUUAAGUUUAACAGGUUGUUUUCUGGGUCACGUCUUUCCCUUUUCAAAAGUAGUUUUCCUGACCUAACAAUAUCUUUAUUGAAGACCUACUAAAAGUAUUGUUAAUUUAUAUAUGCAGUUGUGUGCAAUAGCUUUUAAAUAUGGACCACCAUAAGAGUAACCUUUUGAUUUUGGUUGAUGAUCUUGCAUCUGAAACUCCUCGUCCAUCUGAGAGUGCUACCACCAAUAAAAAGGAAAUCUCAAAUGUUUAGAAUUUUUUCACAAAAAUAGGAAAAGAUGAGGAUGGCAUUGAAAAGGCUGCAUGUAAGUAUUGUGGUAAUAGCUACAAAGUUGGAAAAAACCUAGUUACUAAAAACAAUUAUGGAACUUCACAUUUAAGUUGACAUGUCCAUGUGUGUAGAAGUAUUGCAAACUUAGAUGUGGAUCUGAAUCAAGAAGGAAAGUUUGGGACAUGAAAAAUCAAUCAAAAGAUUCAUCGGAAGUUACUUGCGAGAGCCAUAAUUAAACAUAGCCUUCCUGAUAAUUUUAUUGAAUAUGAAGGAAUUAGAGAGUGAAUAAAAUACAUUAAUCCUAAUGUUGACAUGAAAUGUAGGAACACUACUGUAUCAGAUAUGGAAAAGGAAUACAUUGAACAAAAGGAUAAAGUUAAGCAAAUCAUGUCUAGGAUUCCUAAUAGAAUUUGUUUAACCUCUGAUGUUUGGACUACAGUUACUUCUGAGGGAUAUAUUUGCCUAACUGCACACUUUGUUGAUGAAAACUGGAAAUUGACAAGUAAGAUUCUUAACUUCUGUCGAAUGAAACCAUCACAUACAGGUGUUGAACUAGAAAGUGUUGUGUUUGAUUGCCUAAAGCAAUAGGGUAUUGAUAAGAAAAUUUUCUCAAUUACCCUAAACAAUGCUUCUGCCAAUAAUAAUUUGCAAGACAUUCUGAAAAGCCAUCUUUGUGUUCACAGAAAUUUAUUAUGUGAUGGUGAGUUUUUCCAUGUACGAUGUUGUGCUCAUACUCUUAAUUUGAUAGUUCAAGAUGGUUUAAAGGUGAUUGACAAAGCACUCCAUAGUAUUAGAGAAAGUAUUAAGUAUGUUAAAUCAUCAGAUGGAAGAACUCUCAAAUUCAAAGAAUGUGUUAGUGAUGCUGGCAUAAAUAUGAGCAUGGGUUUGAGAUUAGAUGUGACUACAAGAUGGAAUUCAACCUAUUUAAUGCUUGAAAGUGCAAUCAAUUAUAAGGAAGCUUUUGAAAUUCUCAAAGUGGUUGAUAGAAAUUAUAAAAAUUGUCCAUCAUCUGAGGAAUGGAAUAGGGGAGAGAAAAUAUGUCAAUUCUUAGAACCAUUUUAUGAGAUUACAAACAUGAUGUCUGGAUCAUCUUAUCCCACUUCAAACUUGUAUUUUAUGCAAAUUUGGAAAAUUCAGCUCAUCAUUAAAGAAAAUUUGUUGAAUGAAGAUGUCACCUUAAAGGACAUGGCUUAUAAUAUGAAAGAAAAGUUUCAAAAAUAUUGGAAGGAGUAUAGUAUUGGGUUAGGUUUUGGAUCUAUUCUUGAUCCACGACUAAAGGUUGAUUUUAUAACACAUUGUUAUAAAAAAUUGGAUCCUCUAACCUAUGCAGAGAAAACAAAGGAAGUGUUAGAGAAGUUCAAGAGGUUAUUUAAAGAAUAAGUAAAGAACUUUUCUACCUCUAGUGUUUCUCUUUCCCAAUCACCUACUAAAUCCAUCUUGAUGUUUGAGUCCAAUACUAAAGGGAAAAAGUUUAAGAGAUCAAGAAUUAUUUCGGUAAGCGUUUUAUAUCUAGUGUUCAAUUUUUUUUCCAGUUUUUCUAGUUUUGUUUUGAUAAUUAAUAUGUAAUCAUUGUAGGAUUUUAAAAUGUAUCAGAAUGAGUCAAAAUCUAUCAUUGGAAAGAACGACAUAGAUGUUUAUUUAGAUGAACCAACAAUAAAUGAUGAUGAAGACAGUGAAGAUUUUGAUGUGCUCAAAUAUUGGAAGACUAUAAUGAGAAAAACUUUUCCAUAUUGUCUAUAAUGGCUCGAGAUGUGUUUAGUAUUCCCAUUACUACAGUGGCAUCAGAGUCAACUUUUAGUAAAGGUGGACGUGUACUUUCGAAAUAUAGAAGCUCCAUUCUUCCUGAGCAUGUGCAAAUGUUGAUUUGUACUCAAAAUUGGCUAUAUGGAUUUUCUGAAAAUCCUAGUGAUGAAAUUGUUGAAGAUAUUUUUUUUGGUCAUGAGGGAAUUGAUGAGUCUAAACUUUUAGAAGAUGUUGAAAGUCUUCAACAUUGUGGACAGUGAAAGUGAUCACAGGCUUGUCAUAACAAAGGGCCCAGAGCUACUGAAGAUUCGAACUUGUUAGGAAAGAAAUAUGCAAGGAAAUUGAAGAAGUGAAUACAGAUGAAGAACCUCAAGGAUUUCACUUUAGGUUUGUCAAUGUAACUUUUGAUCUUUGAUACAGUUUUAGCUACAUGUUUCAGUUGUCCAUUCAUGGAUUAUGGAAUCUUUUUUUUCUAUUUUCUGUCGUUCGAUCUUCUUUUGGUGUGGCAGGAUGAAUGUAAGAAGGUAUGUUGCCACUUCCCAGUUUGGUGAUAUCACCUCAUAUAUUUUGGCAUUAAACUUCAUUUGUAACCUCAUAUAUAUUCCCUUGAAGCUUGAAGUGUUAUGGAUCUUGUUACUAAUAUUAGAGCAUGAAAUUUGUAGGUUGUAAUAUGAACAAGACUUCAAGCUCGUCGGAGUCUCUUUAAUGCAAAAGAUUUUGUAAAAUACACAUGAUUUGUGAUUACUUGUAUGAUGAUAUUAUGUUUCUGAACGUUAAAUUUUGUAAAAAGGAAAGCCCAUGGGCUAGCCCUGGCCUAUAGGACUUUAGGGGUUUUUAGCCCUGUGAGUUUUUUUAAUGAAGAGUUUUAUUGGUC
Vigna angularis (adzuki bean) is the source of this 5351-nucleotide long non-coding RNA. RefSeq lists it as uncharacterized. The transcript is spliced from 5 exons. Lineage: Eukaryota; Viridiplantae; Streptophyta; Magnoliopsida; Fabales; Fabaceae. The record is from RefSeq and is a predicted model, not a curated record.